Non-coding RNA from Paramuricea clavata, 2695 nucleotides. The record is from the annotation of a GenBank genome assembly. NCBI's taxonomy places the organism in Eukaryota, Metazoa, Cnidaria, Anthozoa, Malacalcyonacea, Plexauridae.
CUCUGUAGAACCCAAGCCCCAGCGCGGUCGGCAGGUUGUUAAAAAGCGCGCGAAAAUUCGGAAGCAAAAACAAAAUGGAAUUCGCUUUUUGAAACAAAGACAAAUUGUUCAAAUAAUUGUCAGAAAAGGACUGUGACAGCACGAAAACGGUUACUAUCAAACAAUACAAAACUAUCUUCGACAGGUAUUUAUUAUAUUUUCUCUUUAUUACUGUAAAAUAUCGUCUUUUUGUCCAUGUAUAAUGAGUUUGAACAGUUCCUGGCAGCGUAGGAAGUCGAGGGGCAUUUCACUCCAAAAAAGCGUACGGGAUUUUCGGAUUUUUAAAAAUCCGCGGAUUUUUUAGCGGAUUUUUCCCGGAUUUUUUUGCGGAUUUUUGAAGAAAAAAUCUCUUGGAUUUUCCGGGUUUGUCUGGAUUUUCCGGAUUUGUUCCGAUUUUUUCCGGAUUUUUUGACGAAGCGUACGGGAUUUUCGGAUUUUUAAUAAUCCGCGGAUUUUUUAGCGGAUUUUUAGCGGAUUUUUGAAGAGAAAAUCUGUUGGAUUUUCCGGAUUUGUUCGGAUUUUUUCCGGAUUUUUUGACGAAGUGUACGGGAUUUUUGGAGUGAAAUGCCCCUCGUAGGAAGUGACAAGCGAGGUGACAAGCUCGUCAGUCGAGCUCCCGGAUUCAAAGGGUUUCAACUAUCUGAAAAUACAAAAACUUGGAGACGUUUCCAGUGAAAGCUCUUCGUCUUGGCUUUCUUCUCGGGGGGUUUUAAAAUUUGAAUGUAUAAUAAAAACAAUUAUUGGGCUCGGUGUACAUUAUCAAGAAUCGUCCAGACCUCGGUCUAUGUUAUUCGUCUUCGCUUCGGUAGAUAACAUUGACCUCAGUCUGAAAAUUUUUUAUAUCAGUUUCAUCCAAUAAUUGUUUUAUAAUUAUUUUCAUUGUGUUAGUUUAAUUUAUUCUGCAACGCUUUCUGUAACUCAUGUAGUAAUAUAGUAUUAAUAUAGUUGGGUAAUACACACAAUAUGGCAAUAAUAGCUACUUGUUCGUUAUAUAAAAUAUAGAAAAAAUACCGUAAACAUUCAUCGCAAGCCAUCUACACAUUUCACAUAUAGCUUAUUCGACGUAAGAGAAUAGAUCGCUUAUUAUGCUUCGUAGUCAAUUCGUCGCAAUUAAAACCUCGCUAAUUAAUAAAACAGUAAAUAAAAUGCUUAUAAGUUAUAUAUGAACUUGUUUCGUAACAUAUCUUGACUAAAAAUUAACCUUAACUUUCUUUAAUAUACUUUAUUUCACUUGAUAGUUAAACCGGCCAUUUUUAAACUGGGUUUUUCUUGUAAAACGUUUUGCACUAUUAAUAAUAACAAUCACAGUUAAUUUAGUUAAGUUUUUCAAAACUUUUUGUACGUUUUGAAGGAUUCAUAAGAAAUGUUUGAGGAAACUGACUGAGUGUUAAACAUUCAGUCAAUUCCUUCAAACAUUUCUUGCAAAUCCUUCAAAGUUCAAAACGUACAAAAAGUUUUGAAAAACCUAGAAUUUUAUACAGCAAUAGGCUAAUACUCCUUUAGCAUUAUUAGUUCUAGCUGAAAUUGCUUAUUAUUAUGUGGUGGAAAAUGUUCCGAAAAAUUAUUUCUUUAGUAUAAAGUAAAACCGAUAAUAUAUUCAGUUAAAUGUUCCAUAAUAGAUUAUAUUCCCAACCUUUAAACAUUCAUUGAAUACCAAUGGUAUUCUCGUCGACAGUAAAACGUUCAUAAACUUUCCUGACUCUUAAAGAGAUAAUAUUCAAUGUUCGUUUAUAAUUAAUUAUAUAUUCCGCUGUUUCAAUCAUUCAUGGCCACCAAUGAAUGAUAUUUUCAUUGACAGUAAAACUUUAGUUUCCAUUUUAAAAGAUAAUAUUCAGUGUUUAUAAUUGAUUAUAUAUUCCGUUGUUUCAAUCAUUCAGUGAAUUCCGAUUCCGGUAUUUUCAUUGACAGUAUAAAACGUUGCUCUGAAAACGUUGGUAAAGUUCCAUUUUAAAAGAUAAUAUUCAGUGUUUAUAAUUGAUUAUAUAUUCCGCUGUUUCAAACAUUUAAUGAAUUCCGUCAAUUGGGGCAAUCUGUCCAGAUCGACUCAACAAUUCCCUUCUCCCAGUCGCAACAUUUCUCGUAACUUGUAUGAAACAGUAACGUCCCACAACACCUAUCCACCUGUGGGUCAGAGGUGUUCCUCACCUUUCCCCCACAACACUUUGCUUUUCUGGUAUCCAUGGUACGUGCCCCACAACACCGUGUGUACCGAAACCCACCUUCCAAAAGCUGCACCUGCCCUUCACAGCACGUGUCCUUGAACGGGUUAAACGAUAUUCGCCCACAACACGAGCUUGGUAGGUAGUAUGGUACGUUGCUACUGGUUACCGCUCCGUUACAACAUCGGUGGGUGGUGGGGUUGUAACUCUUUCGACCACAACACCCUGGUCUCGCUGUGACACGCCCCAGAACGUUCCUUCGUAGUUUCCCCUCGCAGCACCAAUGUGACUGGCGGUUGUAGUUCAACGUACCACAGCAUUUGUUGAGGUACCAUGGUCCCAACAGAGGGCGGACGUACCCCUUGCAACAGAUGUGUGUAUGAGGGUCGAACGGCCGCAUCGUCUGCCCACAAUACGACCAGUAGUGAUCCACCGAGUUAUACUGAUGAGAAUAAUGGUUCUCGUUUGUUGAAACUAAAAGAUUGUGAAAUAGGAAA